Molecule: ribosomal RNA, 254 nt
Filed under: uncultured bacterium
Lineage: Bacteria
Description: partial 16S ribosomal RNA
Rfam family: Bacterial small subunit ribosomal RNA
Source: RNAcentral
UACGAAGGGGGCUAGCGUUGCUCGGAAUUACUGGGCGUAAAGGGCGCGUAGGCGGGUCGUUAAGUUGGGGGUGAAAGCCCAGGGCUCAACCCUGGAAUUGCCUUCAAUACUGGCGACCUUGAGUAUGGCAGAGGUGUGUGGAACUCCGAGUGUAGAGGUGAAAUUCGUAGAUAUUCGGAAGAACACCGACGGCGAAGGCAGCGCCCUGGACGAGAUCUGACGCUCAGGCACGAAAGCUGGGGGGAGCAAACAGG